AUUGAACGCUGGCGGCAUGCCUUACACAUGCAAGUCGAACGGCAGCACGGGAGCAAUCCUGGUGGCGAGUGGCGAACGGGUGAGUAAUACAUCGGAACGUGCCCAAUCGUGGGGGAUAACGCAGCGAAAGCUGUGCUAAUACCGCAUACGAUCUACGGAUGAAAGCAGGGGAUCGCAAGACCUUGCGCGAAUGGAGCGGCCGAUGGCAGAUUAGGUAGUUGGUGAGGUAAAGGCUCACCAAGCCGUCGAUCUGUAGCUGGUCUGAGAGGACGACCAGCCACACUGGGACUGAGACACGGCCCAGACUCCUACGGGAGGCAGCAGUGGGGAAUUUUGGACAAUGGGCGAAAGCCUGAUCCAGCCAUGCCGCGUGCAGGAUGAAGGCCUUCGGGUUGUAAACUGCUUUUGUACGGAACGAAACGGCCUUUUCUAAUAAAGAGGGCUAAUGACGGUACCGUAAGAAUAAGCACCGGCUAACUACGUGCCAGCAGCCGCGGUAAUACGUAGGGUGCAAGCGUUAAUCGGAAUUACUGGGCGUAAAGCGUGCGCAGGCGGUUAUGUAAGACAGUUGUGAAAUCUCCGGGCUCACCUGGGGAACUGCUUCUGUGACUGCAUGCUGGAGUACGUAGAGGGGGAUGGAAUUC
RNAcentral lists this ribosomal RNA (644 nucleotides) under Variovorax paradoxus. RNAcentral's name for it is "bacterial SSU rRNA". It matches the Rfam family "Bacterial small subunit ribosomal RNA", at positions 28 to 669 of the family's 1533-position model. The record is from RNAcentral. Lineage: Bacteria; Pseudomonadati; Pseudomonadota; Betaproteobacteria; Burkholderiales; Comamonadaceae.